UAAACAAUUAACUUACACCAACCAGCGCCAGGGAACUACGAGCAAUGCUUAAAACCCAAAGGACUUGACGGUGUCCCACCCACCUAGAGGAGCCUGUUCUAUAAUCGAUGAUCCCCGCUAUACCUAACCAUUCCUCGCUUUUUCAGUCUGUAUACCUCCGUCGAAAGCCUACCAUGUGAACGCUUAUAGUAGGCCCAAUGAUUAUCAUCAACACGUCAGGUCAAGGUGCAGCUCACGGAACGGAAAGCAAUGGGCUACAAUUUCUAAUUUAGAACAUACGAAAGACUAUGUGAAACCCUAGUCACGAAGGCGGAUUUAGUAGUAAAAGGAAAAUAGAGUGUUCCUUUUAACCUGGCUCUGGGACGCGUACACA
RNAcentral lists this ribosomal RNA (373 nucleotides) under Pelophylax bergeri (Italian pool frog). Its description in RNAcentral is "12S ribosomal RNA". It matches the Rfam family "Bacterial small subunit ribosomal RNA", at positions 801 to 1389 of the family's 1533-position model. Lineage: Eukaryota; Metazoa; Chordata; Amphibia; Anura; Ranidae. The record is from RNAcentral.